This 377-nucleotide ribosomal RNA is filed under the name uncultured bacterium. Its description in RNAcentral is "bacterial SSU rRNA". It matches the Rfam family "Bacterial small subunit ribosomal RNA", at positions 523 to 898 of the family's 1533-position model. The record is from RNAcentral.
AUACGAACCGUCCAAACGUUACUCGGAAUCACUGGGCUUAAAGGGUGCGUAGGCGGCCUUGUAAGUUGGGUGUGAAAUGCCUCGGCUCAACCGAGGAAUUGCGCUCAAAACUGCAAGGCUUGAGGGAGAUAGAGGUGAGCGGAACUUAGGGUGGAGCGGUGAAAUGCGUUGAUAUCCUAAGGAACACCGGUGGCGAAAGCGGCUCACUGGGUCUCUACUGACGCUGAGGCACGAAAGCUAGGGGAGCGAAGAGGAUUAGAUACCCUCGUAGUCCUAGCCGUAAACGUUGAGCACUAGAUCGGAGGAUCCCCUAUAGUCUUCUGGUCGUAGCGAAAGUGUUAAGUGCUCCGCCUGGGGAGUAUGGUCGCAAGGCUGAA